Molecule: non-coding RNA, 358 nt
Organism: Leuconostoc mesenteroides subsp. cremoris ATCC 19254
Lineage: Bacteria; Bacillati; Bacillota; Bacilli; Lactobacillales; Lactobacillaceae
Source: Rfam
GGGUCUGUUUUUGGAAUUCGACAGGUCGUUUAGAGCAUUGAUUGCGUUUCGCCAUCCGGGCGCAAAACGGGCAGAAAUUUUAACUGCAAAAAACGAAAACUCUUUCGCUAUCGCUGCCUAAAAACCAGUGAUGCGUAGCUUAAUCUUGGUUGCUGGCGUCUGAGGUUAGGCCAUAAAAGGCCAGAUCGUACUGCUUCUUACAUCUGGAAAAGCAGUAUUAAAUCAAUCAGGUUAGUUAUAUUGAAGAGCCUUGAGCUAUGGCAGACAAUAUAAUGAACUACAAAUAAUAGCCCUAUAAACGUAGAUAUUGGUGUAUCGGGCGAUUUGGACAGGGGUUCGACUCCCCUCAGAUCCAUUU